Molecule: ribosomal RNA, 504 nt
Filed under: uncultured bacterium
Lineage: Bacteria
Description: partial 16S ribosomal RNA
Rfam family: Bacterial small subunit ribosomal RNA
Source: RNAcentral
AUUGAACGCUGGCGGCAGGCCUAACACAUGCAAGUCGAACGGUAGCACAGAGAGCUUGCUCUCGGGUGACGAGUGGCGGACGGGUGAGUAACGUCUGGGAAACUGCCCGAUGGAGGGGGAUAACUACUGGAAACGGUAGCUAAUACCGCAUAACGUCGCAAGACCAAAGUGGGGGACCUUCGGGCCUCACACCAUCGGAUGUGCCCAGAUGGGAUUAGCUAGUAGGUGGGGUAAUGGCUCACCUAGGCGACGAUCCCUAGCUGGUCUGAGAGGAUGACCAGCCACACUGGAACUGGAACACGGUCCAGACUCCUACGGGAGGAAGCAGUGGGGAAUAUUGCACAAUGGGCGCAAGCCUGAUGCAGCCAUGCCGCGUGUAUGAAGAAGGCCUUCGGGUUGUAAAGUACUUUCAGCGGGGAGGAAGGCGGUGAAGUUAAUAGCUUCACCGAUUGACGUUACCCGCAGAAGAAGCACCGGCUAACUCCGUGCCAGCCGCCGCCGUAA